RNAcentral lists this long non-coding RNA (2238 nucleotides) under Triticum aestivum (bread wheat). Its description in RNAcentral is "long non-coding RNA (TAES_LNC026452)". The record is from RNAcentral. Lineage: Eukaryota; Viridiplantae; Streptophyta; Magnoliopsida; Poales; Poaceae.
CCUGCUCUGCAAAUCAACAUCUGAAAAUCUACGGGUCACCAUAGUCUUCUGAUCCACUAAUAAGAUUCCGCGCUCGAGAUGAUGUGACCUGAACGAAAAGAUAGAUACAUCCGAGCUGCCCAAGGAUAUGGUCUGGGUACCGAUCUGCUAGGAUAAGGGGGAGAUCCUAGUACUCAAAAGGCUGGGUAAAUUUCGAAAUUAAGCGGAGGAAAUCCACCAAUAAGAGAGUAAUAGAAAAUACUGUUAUCAUGAAGAAAUUCUUUCAAUCCAUUAAGAAGAUACUUAAUUCGUUAUACAAUAGAGACGGGGAAAAAGAUGAUGAUAAAAAACUCCACAAUAAUAAGAAAUCCAAGAAAAAAGAUAUAACGGAUGAGGAAGGAGCUAAAGAACCUAUCAACAAUGAUGCAUCUAGUGGCAGUAAUGAUGCAUCUACUUCUACUUCCCCUAACCCUAAUGAUGGUUCUAGUUCCACUAAUGAUGGAACAAAUCCAAAUGUGAAAACUAGUGCACCUAAGCACGACGAUCAUGGUAUAAUCCACCAUUUUAUAUGGGGUUGUGGUAGUUCAAACAGUGGAGAUAGUUCCAACAGUGGUUGGACUUCCUACUUGAAUUCACCUAUUGAUAGAUUUGUGAAAAAUCGAAAAACAUUUACCAAUUUAGAUCAAAGAGGUCUAAAUGGUUUUAUUGCCAAAAUAAUAGGGUUUAUAGGUCCAACAACAAUUGUGCUUCCAUUCUUUUAUAACAGUUGGAUGCCGAGGAUAGGUUUGUUUUCCAUGUUUGUUAGAGAGCCACACGACUUUCAAAUAGGAGUUAGCGUACGACCAUAUACCAUGUUUCACAAUUAUGGAACUCUACUUAUGGAAUAUGUAUAUAUAAAAUAUUUGUUCCACGCUCAGGUAGGCUGGCGACAAUAUAAAUGUAUAUAUUUGAUAAGUUUAAAGAAAUAAAUGAUUCGCUAGGUUUCUUUUUUAUCGAUAAUAUUUACUUAAGGGAUACUUUUGACGUUAUUCAGCGAUUCUCACAUAGCGGUCUUGGUUUGAAAUCCCUUUUGAAACGUGAAAUCAUAAACAAGUUGGUUGAAGUAGUAAUACCAUUUUAUGAUGAGAAUUCUAAGUCGUAUGUGUACGUUUUUUUUGCUUUUCUAGUAUACGCAGGGUUAUUUUGUACUGUCUGGUAUAAGUAUAUACCAUGGGAUCCAUAUAUAAAACCUGCUGAUUUAGCUCCACCAUCACUGGAUGUAUUUAACACCUAUCAUGCCGAUGUCGUGGGUUAUAAGAAGGUCACAUACCUGAUUACUAAGGACAUUGUCCAAACAAACUAUGGUAGACACCUUUAAACAACCAUCAUUUAACGAAGUAGUAAAUUCGAAUGACUACAACCUUGAUCAAUCUGAUCACAAAGUGUGUUUUUCAUGCUUAUGCACUGGUAUCAUGGUUUCUAUGUUGUUAGUAAUAAAAACACUUCUUCCACAUUAAACAGUACUGCAUAGAUACAAGUUUAGCAUAAUGAAUUUCUGAGUUAUUUCACAUAAGGAAUUUACAAGCUAAUGAAAAUCAAUAGAUUUAUAGGAUAUCUAUCUAAAUACGGCUCCUAUCGUUUAAGGUUAGUAAAUACAUACUAGGAAAUGCUCUUCAGGGAUACCAGAACUGGAAGAUCCUGUCAAGGGGAAACAGGACCUUAAUAAGCGCCAUCCCGAGACUUGGACUCGAGGGAUGGUAAGAUCAAUAGGAGAAGGAGAUAUGAUACAAUUACUAUGAUCAGGAUACCUUAUAUGAGCCAUACUUAUCCAGGGAAUCAAUCGCGUGAGGGUGUUGUUGAUAGAGGGAGCUCUGGCCAGGAGAGGCUAGAGCGAGUGAUAGCAACGGAAAGGUAAGAUCAAGAAGGAAACAAGGCUUAAGAGGACCCUAAUGCACCAAUACUUUAGGCAUUCCAACUUCCAAUACAUACUUAUCAUGGAAUGAAAUCCAAGAGGAGCAAGCAUAUCACUGAGAAUAGCUAGCUGAAAUCAAGGAUGCUAUCACAAUAUUCAAUGGAAUCGUUACAUCGGAAUAAGAUAGACCCGCUUCGAUGCUGUAUUCAGUAUGUCAGCUAGGAGCCAGAACUCAGUAUGCCAUAGUCAUACAAUCAACCUGUGUAUUAACAGCAAUAUCUAGACAGGCAGGAUGGAUUAAUUAUAUUGAUGGCCAAGAUAAGGUGCUCAAAGGGGAAGCACUCUUCAUCAAGUAAUGACCCUUGGGG